Molecule: long non-coding RNA, 1699 nt
Organism: Bos indicus x Bos taurus (hybrid cattle)
Lineage: Eukaryota; Metazoa; Chordata; Mammalia; Artiodactyla; Bovidae
Source: Ensembl
AGGCAAUUAGGUGGUUAAGAAACUUUCCAAGAUCGCAUAGUUAGUAGGAGACAGAACAGGAAUUUGAACUUAAGCAAAUGAUUCCAACUCUCAGCCCUUGAACCUUCUACUACUUCUCUCUCUCUCUUUUUUCCAAAACAGCUCUUUUACCAGGGAAAACCUGAAGACAACUACCAUCAUCUAUCUUGGACCAUUUGCUUUCAAUGAUCUGCUUGCUCUAAUAUCCCCAUGGAAACUGGAGAGUCGGGAUCAUUACAGAUGGGAGAACUGAGGCCUAGGGAGACCAAGUGACUUGUCAGGCAUUAGACAUGGAGCAAGUGACUGAGGCCUUAAGAGACCCUUAGGCCCACUGACUCCCAUGACUGAACAUGACAAUAAAAAGGACAAACCCUGCAGAAAAGAGUUACUGAGGCUCUUCAGGGCUCAGACUCUUCACACCCAAGAAAAUCUGUUGCUGCAUAGAUUGGCCUCCAGUACAACCCAGCCUGAUACACACCACAAGGUAGGAGGUAGAUACUGUACGCAUGCGCGCAUGUUAAGUUGUAUUCAACUCUUUGUUACCCCAUGGACUGUAGCCCGCCAGGAUCCUCUGUCCAUGAGAUUUCCCAGGCAGGAAUACUGGAGUGGGUUGCAAUUUCCUCUUCCAGGGGAUCUUCCAGACCCAGGGAUUGAAGCCGCAUCUCCUGCAUCUCCUGCAUUGCAGGCGGAUUUCUUACUGUUUGAGCCAUCAUGGAAGCCCGAUAUACACCAUGGGGAAUCCUUAAUAGCAGAAUACUCUGUGUAAUCAUGCAGGCCCUAGGACCAGACAGAUAGAUCCACUUUGCUACUCACCAGCUGACUGAACUUGUACAAGUCCCUUAGUGGCUCUGUGCCUCAGUUUCCUCCUCUGGGAUAUGGGAAUACUAAGAGUGCCUAUCUGAUGGAGCUGUGGAAGAGAUUCAGUGAGAUAAUGCAUGCCAGGACAGUGGCACAGCACCUGGCACUCGGCUUAGUAAAUAAUGGCUAUAGGCAAAGAGGAAGACUUGCUGUCUCAGAAACUUUGCCUUGAAGAAGCAUUUCUCUGGCUCCAAUUUCCCCUGUUUUGAAGUGAAGGGCUGAAGGCUGAGACCGAGGAAAGAAGUGGAGCAAAGGGGUGUGUACAUUUGUAUUUUUUGGUCCCUCUGUGCAGGUGGUGGAAUCAUAGGUCCCCAACCAGGGACUGAACCCAGUCUGGCAGUGAGAGUGCUGAGUCCUAACUACUGGACCGCCUGGGAAACCCCCAAAGGCGUGUAUCUUGAUGCUGACCCCUUUCCUUUCGGCACUUAGAGAACAGGACAAUAUUGAGAGAGGGCCUACGGUUGAAGGAAAUGAAAUCAGUAAUGUGAUGAAGUGAGGGGUGAUGGGUGGGGAGAAGCUGUUUAAAGAAGGGUGGGGUGGUGGGAGAUGAGGGCCUAAAAACUCAGAGGUUGAAAUCCCAUGAAACAAGAGAACCCACAGCAACACCAUGAGCUGAAUGAAGGAAAGAGAAAGAAAAGUUUACAAAGUCAAAGAAGGGAUAGAAGAAGGAAGCUUCAAAAGGGAUUCACAGGAGAGCUUGGGCAGAAAGGUCUGAAUUCUGGGAACCGCUUUGGUCUUUCUCAGAAAUGCCUUGACCAAAGAUUUUGUGCCAAAGGGCCUGAAAUAUGCUCAUUAUUGAAUAAAUGGUCAGUUUGUUCACUCA